RNAcentral lists this ribosomal RNA (372 nucleotides) under uncultured organism. Its description in RNAcentral is "partial 16S ribosomal RNA". It matches the Rfam family "Bacterial small subunit ribosomal RNA", at positions 527 to 896 of the family's 1533-position model. The record is from RNAcentral.
GUAGGUGGCAAGCGUUGUCCGGAAUUAUUGGGCGUAAAGCGCGCGCAGGUGGUUCUUUAAGUCUGAUGUGAAAGCCCACGGCUCAACCGUGGAGGGUCAUUGGAAACUGGAGAACUUGAGUACAGAAGAGGAAAGCGGAAUUCCACGUGUAGCGGUGAAAUGCGUAGAGAUGUGGAGGAACACCAGUGGCGAAGGCGGCUUUCUGGUCUGUAACUGGCGCUGAGGCGCGAAAGCGUGGGGAGCAAACAGGGAUUAGAUACCCUGGUAGUCCACGCCGUAAACGAUGAGUGCUAAGUGUUAGGGGGUUUCCGCCCCCUUAGUGCUGCAGCUAACGCAUUAAGCACUCCGCCUGGGGAUACGGCCGCAAGGCUG